UUGUGAAUCUAUUGGAUUUGUUGAGGGACUUGCUUUACUAGAUCUAAGUGAUUGCACAAGUUUAAAAGAGCUUCCAAGAAACAUAGGCAGGCUAAGAAGUCUUGAAAAACUGAUGAUCUCCGGUUGCUCAAGUCUUUGUGAGUUUCCAACGGGGAUGAGGAGUAUGGAGUCACUGAAAGAGAUUUAUGCUGAUAGAACUAGAAAUAUUGCAUUAAUUCCUCUUAGCAGAGAGGUCCAACAGUGGGAUUUGCCGGGCUGUUUAGUUAAGUUAAGUCUUGGAUGCGGGAAUUUAUCUGAUGCUUCUUUCCCCAAGGACUUUUGUAACCUACCCUUCCUGGAGUAUUUGGAUUUAGAUGGGAAUUUAAUUCGAAGCCUUCCAGAUUGUAUCAGAACUCUAAACAGGCUUGAGUUACUCAGCUUAUCAUUCUGCCCAUUGCUGCAAUCUGUUGAAGGUCUGCCAAGUACUGUAACAGAUUUGUUUGUCUCCCACAGUGAGUCCUUGGAAAUAAUAAAAAGUACAUCUAAUUUAUUAUGCAUUCAUUGUGGGGAUUGUGAGAAUCUGGUUGAAGUUGAAGGAUAUUACAAAUCAGUGGGCAUUGAAAAUGUGGACAAACGAAUUAUAAAGAAUCUGGGGUUGUUGGAGUUACAAGUUGAGGAUAAAGUUGUUGAAAAAAUGAAGGUAUAUACUCUCGUAUAUGGCCUUGUUUCUGAUCUUGCUGUAUAUAUGUAUCAAAAUUUACAUAAUAAUCAUUAUUAUUAUCAUUAUUAUUAUUAUUAAUAUUAAUAUUUGAUUGGUGUGGUUCAGGUACGUUAUGAAUUUGGUAUAUUCAGCACGUUCAUUCCAGGAAAAGAGCUGGUAGAAUCAUGGUUUGAUUAUAUAGAUAGGAGCGGGUCAAGCUCAGUAUGUUUUAUUGUUCCGGAUAAUAGCAGCAGCUCGAAGAAGAGGACGAUCCGAGGCUUGAAUGUGUGUUAUGCUUAUUGGCAUGAUGGAUGUAACAUUAGUAAUAUGUUUGGUUGUAGAUGUGAAAUUAGUAAUACGACCAAGGAUCUCCGAUGGAUUUAUCAUUGGUGUCCUUUUGUUGUGGGGAAAGAUGUGUGGAAGAAAGAUGGCAAAUAUGAAGAUGGAAUAGUGUUUAGUCAUUGGAGGUUAGGGAAUUUGUUAGAAGUUGGGGAUCAUCUUAUCGUCAAGUUAAUUAGUGCUAAUUCAGUUAUAAAAGAUAUAGGGCUUAAGGUUGUGUAUGAAGAUGAAGAUGAAGACGAAGACGAAGACGAAGACGAAGACGAAGACGAAGAUGAAGAUGAAGAUGAAGAUGAUGAAAAUGAUGAUGAUGAAGAUGAUGAAAGGAAGGAGGGUACUACAAGUGGACUGUACAGCUUCAACAAGUACCACAACAACAAGAAGAAGAAGAAGGAGGAUAUUGUUACUCUCUCUUGGAAUGAAGAAAGAAAUUCUUAUAAACAUUUGUCAGACUGGCGUCAUACGCACGGGAACACCAUGUUUCUGGAUCACCAUAUAUAUACUCAUUAAUAUUCAUUGUGUGAAUGUGAGAUUUUCAUUUACAGUAUGAUCAACCUCCCAGUUUUGGUACGUAUUUUGUCGUAAACUUUUGGAAAAGUCAACAUUUUUUUCUUUCCAACACCCUUAGUUUAAUUUUAAAUAAAAUAAUUGUGUCUCAAAUGAUGUGUCAUUAUUACAUUAAUAUGGAGUUGGGACGUUACUGAAGAUAAAUUAUCAAACAUAAUCAAGAAAUUCAAUCUCCUUUCUAAUAGUAACUCAAACACUACAUUACAUUUCUGAAUUCUGAUAUGACGUAAUUAUAGUUAUGUCAUUACAAUAUAUAUGUCAUUUUUCUAUAAAUAUUUCAAUUAUAACCUGUUUAAAUUAUGACAUAAAUAUGUUUGUAGACUGUAGUAUACAUAUACAACACAAUCUUACUUAUUAAAUGUAUUUUUUGUUACUUAUUGGAGAAAUUAGAAAGAGUUGGUGAUGGCGAUAUUGUCAAGAAACUCAGAAUAACUUUUGAUGGCUUACCAGAUAAUGACAUCAAGAAUGUUUUCCUUCAUGUCGCUUGUUUCUUUGUCGGAGAGGACAAGGAUUGGAUAAUCAAGGUACUAGACUCCUGUGACUUACAAACAGCAGUGGCAAUUGAGCAUCUUGUUGGUCGAUGUCUCUUACAUAUUGAUCGUGACAAUAACACGUUGAGGAUGCAUCAACUAAUUAAAGACAUGGGAAGAGAUAUUGUUAAGCAGGAAGCACCUAAUGAGCCUGAAAAACGUAGUAGAUUGUGGCAUCCAAAAGAUUGCUCUAGCGUUUUGAGUGACAAAAUUGUAAGAAACAUGCUUAUCUCAUUCAUGUAUAUGUGUGUGUUGGGGAUGUUUUUUUAUUGUGUAUUUGCAUUCUCCGACUUAUCCAGUUCAUGUUGGUUAUCUAUAUUUAACAGGGUACGGAAGCAAUCAAAGCUCUAGGCUUUGACCUGCAAAUGUUUAAGAAAGAUAACCGGGUAAAAUCAAACUAUAUUGCAAAGAAUGAAAAAAAACAUCGCUUUGAAGACGUUCACGACAACACAUUUGAGUGGUUCAAAUCACUAAAACGUCAUGCUUCUAACUUCCUCUCUUGGCAUCCGAUGGAAAAUAAUUUAUACGAAGGGGACUUUGAAACUAAUGCCUUCACAAGGAUGAGACAACUAAAGCUAUUAAAGCUCAAUUAUNNNNNNNNNNNNNNNNNNNNNNNNNNNNNNNNNNNNNNNNNNNNNNNNNNNNNNNNNNNNNNNNNNNNNNNNNNNNNNNNNNNNNNNNNNNNNNNNNNNNAUUAACAGUUCCUUCCAUCCCUGAAGAUCCUUAAUCUCAGUCAUUCUAAAAGGAUUUCCAGAACUCCUAACUUCUCAAGAGUCCCAAAUCUUGAGAGGUUGAUCCUCAAAGGAUGUGCGAGAUUGGUUGAUGUUUGUGAAUCUAUUGGAUUUGUUGAGGAACUUACUUUAUUAGAUCUAAGUGAUUGCACAAGUUUAAAAGAGCUUCCAAGAAACAUAGGCAGGCUAAGAAGUCUUGAAAAACUGAUGAUCUCCGGUUGCUCAAGUCUUUGUGAGUUUCCAACGGGGAUGAGGAGUAUGGAGUCACUGAAAGAGAUUUAUGCUGAUAGAACUAGAAAUAUUGCAUUAAUUCCUCUUAUUAGCAGAGAGGUCCAACAGUGGGAUUUGCCGGGC
This 3200-nucleotide long non-coding RNA is filed under the name Panax ginseng (ginseng). RNAcentral's name for it is "long non-coding RNA (PGIN_LNC017107)". Lineage: Eukaryota; Viridiplantae; Streptophyta; Magnoliopsida; Apiales; Araliaceae. The record is from RNAcentral.